AUUGAACGCUAGCGGGAUGCUUUACACAUGCAAGUCGAACGGCAGCGCGGACUUCGGUCUGGCGGCGAGUGGCGAACGGGUGAGUAAUGUAUCGGAACGUGCCCAGUAGCGGGGGAUAACUACGCGAAAGCGUAGCUAAUACCGCAUACGCCCUACGGGGGAAAGCAGGGGAUCGUAAGACCUUGCACUAUUGGAGCGGCCGAUAUCGGAUUAGCUAGUUGGUGAGGUAACGGCUCACCAAGGCGACGAUCCGUAGCUGGUUUGAGAGGACGACCAGCCACACUGGGACUGAGACACGGCCCAGACUCCUACGGGAGGUAGCAGUGGGGAAUUUUGGACAAUGGGGGCAACCCUGAUCCAGCCAUCCCGCGUGUGCGAUGAAGGCCUUCGGGUUGUAAAGCACUUUUGGCAGGAAAGAAACGUCGCGGGCUAAUACCCCGUGGAACUGACGGUACCUGCAGAAUAAGCACCGGCUAACUACGUG
This 484-nucleotide ribosomal RNA is filed under the name uncultured bacterium. Its description in RNAcentral is "partial 16S ribosomal RNA". It matches the Rfam family "Bacterial small subunit ribosomal RNA", at positions 30 to 507 of the family's 1533-position model. The record is from RNAcentral.